AAUAGGGGGCAAAGGGAAGAGGCAAUUUUAAAGCCAGUAAAUUCCAGUGGAAGGUUCCUCACUCCCUCUGAGCAGGAAUAUCCUGGGUGCUGCUGUGGAGAUGGGGCUGCCUUCAAAUAGCACAGGAAAAUGACAAUAAUCUACUGAAAAAGAUUUGAAAAAGAUGACUAAAUGUACUAAAAAUGCAGUGCUGGUCUGAUUCAGUCUUACAGUUUUGAUGUCUCAAACAAAUGUCAGCAUCUUUACAAGGAGAACAUUGACAAGUGAAUGAGACAAGCAAGUGGGCUGGAGAAGAAUCUGUCUCCAAUAUUCUGAUGGACUUCGAGGACCUGUGUCUGGAGACAGGAGAUCUGCUGCAGGAUGGGAGGCACACAAGCAUUGCUGGAUCAAAGACCGGCAGCCAAGAUACAGUAUCUGAAUGCUGCUGCUGCAUUAAUGUGUGAGAAUUUAAACGGAGCUUUUCUGUCUCAUCCCUGGGAGCUGCCUGCACAGGAGAGGUCUCGCCUCGUGCCUUCCCCCUCUCUGUUCUUUCUGCUCUUGGAUGAGAAAUGA
RNAcentral lists this long non-coding RNA (552 nucleotides) under Chloebia gouldiae (Gouldian finch). Its description in RNAcentral is "Erythrura gouldiae (Gouldian finch) lncRNA (ENSEGOG00005006156.1)". Lineage: Eukaryota; Metazoa; Chordata; Aves; Passeriformes; Passeridae. The record is from RNAcentral.